AUUGAACGCUGGCGGCAUGCUUUACACAUGCAAGUCGGACGGCAGCACAGAGAAGCUUGCUUCUUGGGUGGCGAGUGGCGAACGGGUGAGUAAUAUAUCGGAACGUACCUAGUAAUGGGGGAUAACUAAUCGAAAGAUUAGCUAAUACCGCAUAUUCUCUGAGGAGGAAAGCAGGGGACCUUCGGGCCUUGCGUUAUUCGAGCGGCCGAUAUCUGAUUAGCUAGUUGGUGGGGUAAAGGCCUACCAAGGCGACGAUCAGUAGCGGGUCUGAGAGGAUGAUCCGCCACACUGGGACUGAGAAACGGCCCAGACUCCUACGGGAGGCAGCAGUGGGGAAUUUUGGACAAUGGGCGCAAGCCUGAUCCAGCCAUGCCGCGUGUCUGAAGAAGGCCUUCGGGUUGUAAAGGACUUUUGUCAGGGAAGAAAAGGCUGUUGCUAAUAUCAAUAGCUGAUGACGGUACCUGAAGAAUAAGCACCGGCUAACUACGUG
RNAcentral lists this ribosomal RNA (490 nucleotides) under uncultured bacterium. RNAcentral's name for it is "partial 16S ribosomal RNA". It matches the Rfam family "Bacterial small subunit ribosomal RNA", at positions 30 to 507 of the family's 1533-position model. The record is from RNAcentral.